AUACGUAGGUGGCAAGGCGUUGUCCGGAUUUAUUGGGCGUAAAGCGAGCGCAGGCGGUUCCUUAAGUCUGAUGUGAAAGCCCACGGCUCAACCGUGGAAGGUCAUUGGAAACUGGGGAACUUGAGUGCAGAAGAGGAGAGUGGAAUUCCAUGUGUAGCGGUGAAAUGCGUAGAUAUAUGGAGGAACACCAGUGGCGAAGGCGACUCUCUGGUCUGUAACUGACGCUGAGGCUCGAAAGCGUGGGGAGC
Molecule: ribosomal RNA, 248 nt
Filed under: uncultured bacterium
Lineage: Bacteria
Description: partial 16S ribosomal RNA
Rfam family: Bacterial small subunit ribosomal RNA
Source: RNAcentral